GUUGACCUCGGAUCAGGUAGGACUUACCCGCUGAACUAAGCAUAUCAAUAAGCGGCAGCAGCUCAAUUUGAAUCUGGCUCCCCUCCGCGGGGUGGCCCGAGUUGUAAUUUGCAGAGGAUGCCUCUGGGCGCGGCGCCUUCCGAGUUCCCUGGAACGGGACGCCAUAGAGGGUGAGAGCCCCGUAUGGUCGGCAGCCAAGGCCUCUGUGAGGCUCCUUCGACGAGUCGAGUAGUUUGGGAAUGCUGCUCAAAAUGGGAGGUAUAUGUCUUCUAGAGCUAAAUAACCGGCCAGAGACCGAUAGCGCACAAGUAGAGUGAUCGAAAGAUGAAAAGCACUUUGAAAAGAGGGUUAAAACAGUACGUGAAAUUGUUGAAAGGGAAGCGCUCGCGACCAGACUCGGGGGCCCGGCGGAUCAUCCGGCGUUCUUCGCCGGUGCACUCUGCCGGCGCCCGGGCCAGCAUCGGCUCGGCCGCGGGGGAUAAAGGCGGCGGGAACGUGGCCCCUCCGGGGGGGUGUUUAUAGCCCGCCGCGCAAUGUCCCGCGCCGGGCCGAGGACCGCGCCCCAGGGCAAGGAUGCUGGCGUAACGGUCGCUAGCGACCCGUCUUGAAACACGGACCAAGGAGUCGUCUUCGUAUGCGAGUGUUCGGGUGUCAAACCCCUACGCGCAAUGAAAGUGAACGCGGGUGAGAACCCCCCUCGCGGGCGCAUCACCGACCGAUCCUGAUGUUCUCGGAUGGAUUUGAGUAAGAGCAUACGGGGCCGGACCCGAAAGAAGGUGAACUAUGCCUGUGUAGGGUGAAGUCAGAGGAAACUCUGGUGGAGGCUCGCAGCGGUUCUGACGUGCAAAUCGAUCGUCGAACAUGGGCAUGGGGGCGAAAGACUAAUCGAACCUUCUAGUAGCUGUCCCGC
This 910-nucleotide ribosomal RNA is filed under the name Ophiocordyceps sp. Its description in RNAcentral is "eukaryotic LSU rRNA". It matches the Rfam family "Eukaryotic large subunit ribosomal RNA", at positions 1 to 960 of the family's 3401-position model. Lineage: Eukaryota; Fungi; Ascomycota; Sordariomycetes; Hypocreales; Ophiocordycipitaceae. The record is from RNAcentral.